UGCCUUCAAAAAAAUGCAUACAAAUACUUGUUUUUAUUCGUUACCAUAACAAUAAACAAAAUCUCGAAGUUAUCAAGCAAAAAAAAUUCACAGCCCGUAGAACCAUUUGGAAGAUCUGUCGGAUAUAUUUGAGCAAAAUCUGGAAGUUAUCAAGCAAAAAAUGGUUGAACGUCGUGUGCCGCCUCCUCCUCCAGAUUCAGACGGCGAUCAGUAGCUUCGCCACCACCACAGCUCACGCCAGUCCACCACCGUCUGCACCUGCAACUGUUGCGCCGUUCAAACGCCACCCUGCGCGUCGUCAUCGCGCCUACGCGAUUCAGAACCACCGCACCAGCCUUCCUCCACCUACGCCGACCGCCAGAACGUCGCCUCUUCGUUUGAAGAUUUUUUUUUUUUUGAGGAUCUCUUCGUUUGAAGAUUUAAUUGGAGUGAGAAUCGGAACCAAAUGAGUGUAGAUAUGGAAGGAGGGAUCAAAUUUGAUUUGUUUCGUGUGUAGAUAUGGAAGGUGUACAACAUAUGCCAAUAAUACCCCACGUAAAAAAUAUGUAUGAAUAUUUUCUAUUACUUAAUGAACUAUUUAACCCAUAAAAUAUGGGAUGACAGCCGUUGAUUUCAUUUGAUCGACGGUCAUAUAUUAGUCUU
Molecule: long non-coding RNA, 642 nt
Filed under: Salvia miltiorrhiza (redroot sage)
Lineage: Eukaryota; Viridiplantae; Streptophyta; Magnoliopsida; Lamiales; Lamiaceae
Description: long non-coding RNA (SMIL_LNC000338)
Source: RNAcentral